CCUACGGGAGGCAGCAGUAGGGAAUCUUCCACAAUGGGCGAAAGCCUGAUGGAGCAACGCCGCGUGGGUGAAGACGGUCCUCGGAUCGUAAAACUCUGUUGUUAGAGAAGAAAGCGCGUGAGAGUAACUGUUCACGUUUCGACGGUAUCUAACCAGAAAGCCACGGCUAACUAGGUGCCAGCAGCCGCGGUAAUACGUAGGUGGCAAGCGUUAUCCGGAUUUAUUGGGCGUAAAGGGAACGCAGGCGGUCUUUUAAGUCUGAUGUGAAAGCCUUCGGCUUAACCGGAGUAGUGCAUUGGAAACUGGGAGACUUGAGUGCAGAAGAGGAGAGUGGAACUCAAGGUGUAGCGGUGAAAUGCGUAGAGAUAUGGAAGAACACCAGUGGCGAAGGCAGCUCUCUGGUCUGUAACUGACGCUGAGGUUCGAAAGCGUGGGUAGCAAACAGGAUUAGAUACCCGGGUAGUC
Molecule: ribosomal RNA, 465 nt
Filed under: uncultured bacterium
Lineage: Bacteria
Description: partial 16S ribosomal RNA
Rfam family: Bacterial small subunit ribosomal RNA
Source: RNAcentral